UUGAAUAGUAUUGGGCGCUGUGCUGGCCUUCGGGCAUGUGCACGCGUCUCAACUCUAUAUUAUCUUUUGUGCACCUAGUGUGGGCUUUUGUUGUUGUGAAGCAGCUUUCGGGUUGUGGAACGGCUUCAGAAGACCAUUUUUUAUAUCCUUUUAAACAAGUUAAUAGAAUGUCCUCGUUAUUGACGCAAGUUGGUAACAAAAUUAUA
This 206-nucleotide unclassified non-coding RNA is filed under the name uncultured Agaricales. RNAcentral describes it as "sequence contains ITS1". The record is from RNAcentral. Lineage: Eukaryota; Fungi; Basidiomycota; Agaricomycetes; Agaricales.